AGCACCACAACGGGUGGAGCUUGCGGUUUAAUUGGAUUCAACGCCGGAAAUCUUACCGGGACCGACAGCAAUAUGAAGGCCAGGCUGAAGACUUUGCCGGAUUAGCUGAGAGGUGGUGCAUGGCCGUCGUCAGUUCGUACUGUGAAGCAUCCUGUUAAGUCAGGCAACGAGCGAGACCCACGCCCACAGUUGCCAGCGUACUCUCUGGAGUGACGGGUACACUGUGGGGACCGCCGCUGCUAAAGCGGAGGAAGGAAUGGGCAACGGUAGGUCAGCAUGCCCCGAAUUAUCUGGGCUACACGCGGGCUACAAUGGGUGGGACAAUGGGUAUCGACACCGAAAGGUGAAGGCAAUCUCCUAAACCCAUCCGUAGUUCGGAUUGUGGGCUGCAACUCGCCCACAUGAAGCUGGAAUCUGUAGUAAUCGUGUCUCAAAAUGGCACGGUGAAUAUGUCCCUGCUCCUU
Molecule: ribosomal RNA, 464 nt
Filed under: uncultured Methanolinea sp.
Lineage: Archaea; Methanobacteriati; Methanobacteriota; Methanomicrobia; Methanomicrobiales; Methanoregulaceae
Description: bacterial SSU rRNA
Rfam family: Archaeal small subunit ribosomal RNA
Source: RNAcentral